AUGUUGGCUCUUUGGAAGCAACGCAAUGCUAGGGUAUUCAACAGAGUCGACCAACAAAAGAAUGCUAGGGAGCUUGCCACUAUGAUUCUUGGUGAGGCACACGAAAUGUCAAAACAUCAUCUUGAUGAUGUGCCCAUAGAGAAUAGUUGGCUCGGGGCGACAAAGAGCACCUAUUUGAGGCUUUUUAUGAUGGCCGUGGGCCAUGUGCCAUCCAGCCCAAUUCGAGAAGAAGAAGGCGCGGCUGGACAUCAUCGUCUCCACACACCUCCACCUCACCUUCUCCGACUCAGCCGCGCUACCAUGACUUUCCCCAUGGCCACCUCCACCGCCUCCACGGCCGCCGCCGCUUCCAUCCGCCUUCUCCCGGUGCCAGCCACCCCAUCCUCCCGCACUCUCCGCUUCCCGCCCAUCCUCCGCCGCGCGCCCCGCGCCCUCUUGUCCGUCUCCGCUCUCAGCAAGCUCUCCGAGGCGUCCCCCGUCCCCAUCCCGCAGGAGCCCACCCAGACUUUGCCCGGCGAGGACGCGCUUCCCCCUAGGCCCGGGGUCUACGGCGUCUUCGACCCCGCCGGGGACCUGCAGUUUCUCGGGAUCUCGCGCAACGUCAGGGCCAGCAUCGAGGGGCACCGCAGAAAGGUGCCCGCUGACCUCUGCGCCUCCGUCAAGGUUGCAAUACCAGACGAGGAAACGCCAGAUAAAAGUGUCCUAACUAAUGCCUGGAAAUCAUGGAUGGAAGAAUACAUAGCAGCCACCGGCAAGGCGCCACCAGGGAACGUUGCCGGGAACCACACCUGGAUCGGUCCUCCACAGAGACCUGCAGACCUGCGUUUGACUCCUGGUCGCCAUGUGCAGCUAACUGUGCCGCUUGAACAGUUGAUUGAUCGGUUAGUGAAGGAGAAUAAAGUGGUUGCCUUCAUCAAAGGAUCAAGAAGCGCUCCCCAGUGUGGGUUCUCACAAAGAGUGGUGGGGAUCCUGGAGGCACAUGGAGUGGACUUUGCAUCCGUAGAUAUUCUUGACGAGGAGCACAACCAUGGGUUGAGAGAGACCCUCAAGACCUACAGCAACUGGCCAACCUUCCCACAAGUUUUUGUUGGAGGAGAACUUGUGGGCGGAUGUGAUAUUAUUUCAUCCAUGGCUGAAAAGGGGGAGCUUGCUGCCCUAUUUCAGAAAUAG
Molecule: ribosomal RNA, 1170 nt
Filed under: Triticum aestivum (bread wheat)
Lineage: Eukaryota; Viridiplantae; Streptophyta; Magnoliopsida; Poales; Poaceae
Description: partial small subunit ribosomal RNA
Source: RNAcentral